AGGCAGUGCUUUGAAAAUAGACAGAUGUCACAUUACUUAACUCUCCCACAGAAGCCUACGCUUGCAGGUUGUGUGUGUUUUUCAGGCCUGAAGGAAGGAUAAUCAUCUUAAUGUUUUUCAUGAACAGAGUUGUCACUGGGGGCAUGGGCCUGUGCCAGGAUGGAAUGCUUGAAGUCGUCAUGGACUGCAUGAUCUCAGGUUAUCUUUGGAAUUGGGAUUGUUCAGUUGAAAAACAGAAGGCUUUGACCUUCCAGUACUUGAGAAUAGCCGACAAGAACGAUGGAGAGAGACUGGUUGCAAGGGCUUGUAGGGGCAGGACAAAGGAAGUGGAUUCAAACUGAAGGAGAGUAUAUGCAGAUUAGAUAUUAGGGGAAAAUUCUUUGCUUUCAGGGUAGUGAGGCACUGAAAAAGGUUGCCUGGAGAAGUUGUGGAUGCCUCAUCCCUGGAAGUUUUCAAGACCAGGUUGAUUGGGGCUCUGAGAAACCUGGUCCAGCUAAAGGUAAUCAUGUCCACUGAAAAGGGGUUGAAGCUACAUCUUUAUGGUCCCUUUUCAACCCAAGCCAUUCUAUGAUUUUAUAGUUCUAUGAUAUAAAUUAAAAUUCAUCUUAGUUUAAAAAAUGUAAACGUUACAAAUAUGAAAAUUGUACAUUUAGUUGAAGCUUCCACUUUGAUGC
This 674-nucleotide long non-coding RNA is filed under the name Cyanistes caeruleus (blue tit). Its description in RNAcentral is "lncRNA (ENSCCEG00000013810.1)". Lineage: Eukaryota; Metazoa; Chordata; Aves; Passeriformes; Paridae. The record is from RNAcentral.